This 310-nucleotide long non-coding RNA is filed under the name Trifolium pratense (red clover). Its description in RNAcentral is "long non-coding RNA (TPRA_LNC006848)". Lineage: Eukaryota; Viridiplantae; Streptophyta; Magnoliopsida; Fabales; Fabaceae. The record is from RNAcentral.
CUUCUUUGAUGUGACAAAUUUUAGGACAACCUGAAUCAACUACACCUCCUAAUCUUGCUUCAGAUUCAAUGCACAUAUCUGCAUAAAUAUAAGAAAAACUCACUCUGAUGGAUAGAAAAUUCAGAUUUUAAUUUCUAACUUACCGGAGGGAGUACUCCACAUACAUUUCUAGCCACUAGUAAUAUUUAGGAUCCGGAUUUUUUCCUGUCUUUCCUCUUCAGUUUUAUGUCCUGUGCAGAUAUGAACCGUCCAUCAAUAAUACUAUAGUGUUGAUUGUUAAUGUUUAACAAAAAUCAAUGGUUGAGAUCAA